AGUAAAGUCAGCUAAGUAAGCUAUCGGGCCCAUACCCCGAACAUGUUGGUUAAUCUCCUUCCUUUAUUA
This 69-nucleotide transfer RNA is filed under the name Trachonurus sulcatus (bristly grenadier). RNAcentral's name for it is "tRNA-Met". It matches the Rfam family "tRNA". From Rfam's summary of the family: Transfer RNA (tRNA) molecules are approximately 80 nucleotides in length. Their secondary structure includes four short double-helical elements and three loops (D, anti-codon, and T loops). Further hydrogen bonds mediate the characteristic L-shaped molecular structure. tRNAs have two regions of fundamental functional importance: the anti-codon, which is responsible for specific mRNA codon recognition, and the 3' end, to which the tRNAs corresponding amino acid is attached (by aminoacyl-tRNA synthetases). tRNAs cope with the degeneracy of the genetic code in two manners: having more than one tRNA (with a specific anti-codon) for a particular amino acid; and 'wobble' base-pairing, i.e. permitting non-standard base-pairing at the 3rd anti-codon position. The record is from RNAcentral. Lineage: Eukaryota; Metazoa; Chordata; Actinopteri; Gadiformes; Macrouridae.